Molecule: ribosomal RNA, 2904 nt
Filed under: Escherichia coli
Lineage: Bacteria; Pseudomonadati; Pseudomonadota; Gammaproteobacteria; Enterobacterales; Enterobacteriaceae
Description: 23S ribosomal RNA
Rfam family: Bacterial large subunit ribosomal RNA
Source: RNAcentral
GGUUAAGCGACUAAGCGUACACGGUGGAUGCCCUGGCAGUCAGAGGCGAUGAAGGACGUGCUAAUCUGCGAUAAGCGUCGGUAAGGUGAUAUGAACCGUUAUAACCGGCGAUUUCCGAAUGGGGAAACCCAGUGUGAUUCGUCACACUAUCAUUAACUGAAUCCAUAGGUUAAUGAGGCGAACCGGGGGAACUGAAACAUCUAAGUACCCCGAGGAAAAGAAAUCAACCGAGAUUCCCCCAGUAGCGGCGAGCGAACGGGGAGGAGCCCAGAGCCUGAAUCAGUGUGUGUGUUAGUGGAAGCGUCUGGAAAGGCGCGCGAUACAGGGUGACAGCCCCGUACACAAAAAUGCACAUGCUGUGAGCUCGAUGAGUAGGGCGGGACACGUGGUAUCCUGUCUGAAUAUGGGGGGACCAUCCUCCAAGGCUAAAUACUCCUGACUGACCGAUAGUGAACCAGUACCGUGAGGGAAAGGCGAAAAGAACCCCGGCGAGGGGAGUGAAAAAGAACCUGAAACCGUGUACGUACAAGCAGUGGGAGCCUCUUUUAUGGGGUGACUGCGUACCUUUUGUAUAAUGGGUCAGCGACUUAUAUUCUGUAGCAAGGUUAACCGAAUAGGGGAGCCGAAGGGAAACCGAGUCUUAACUGGGCGUUAAGUUGCAGGGUAUAGACCCGAAACCCGGUGAUCUAGCCAUGGGCAGGUUGAAGGUUGGGUAACACUAACUGGAGGACCGAACCGACUAAUGUUGAAAAAUUAGCGGAUGACUUGUGGCUGGGGGUGAAAGGCCAAUCAAACCGGGAGAUAGCUGGUUCUCCCCGAAAGCUAUUUAGGUAGCGCCUCGUGAAUUCAUCUCCGGGGGUAGAGCACUGUUUCGGCAAGGGGGUCAUCCCGACUUACCAACCCGAUGCAAACUGCGAAUACCGGAGAAUGUUAUCACGGGAGACACACGGCGGGUGCUAACGUCCGUCGUGAAGAGGGAAACAACCCAGACCGCCAGCUAAGGUCCCAAAGUCAUGGUUAAGUGGGAAACGAUGUGGGAAGGCCCAGACAGCCAGGAUGUUGGCUUAGAAGCAGCCAUCAUUUAAAGAAAGCGUAAUAGCUCACUGGUCGAGUCGGCCUGCGCGGAAGAUGUAACGGGGCUAAACCAUGCACCGAAGCUGCGGCAGCGACGCUUAUGCGUUGUUGGGUAGGGGAGCGUUCUGUAAGCCUGUGAAGGUGUGCUGUGAGGCAUGCUGGAGGUAUCAGAAGUGCGAAUGCUGACAUAAGUAACGAUAAAGCGGGUGAAAAGCCCGCUCGCCGGAAGACCAAGGGUUCCUGUCCAACGUUAAUCGGGGCAGGGUGAGUCGACCCCUAAGGCGAGGCCGAAAGGCGUAGUCGAUGGGAAACAGGUUAAUAUUCCUGUACUUGGUGUUACUGCGAAGGGGGGACGGAGAAGGCUAUGUUGGCCGGGCGACGGUUGUCCCGGUUUAAGCGUGUAGGCUGGUUUUCCAGGCAAAUCCGGAAAAUCAAGGCUGAGGCGUGAUGACGAGGCACUACGGUGCUGAAGCAACAAAUGCCCUGCUUCCAGGAAAAGCCUCUAAGCAUCAGGUAACAUCAAAUCGUACCCCAAACCGACACAGGUGGUCAGGUAGAGAAUACCAAGGCGCUUGAGAGAACUCGGGUGAAGGAACUAGGCAAAAUGGUGCCGUAACUUCGGGAGAAGGCACGCUGAUAUGUAGGUGAAGCGACUUGCUCGUGGAGCUGAAAUCAGUCGAAGAUACCAGCUGGCUGCAACUGUUUAUUAAAAACACAGCACUGUGCAAACACGAAAGUGGACGUAUACGGUGUGACGCCUGCCCGGUGCCGGAAGGUUAAUUGAUGGGGUCAGCGCAAGCGAAGCUCUUGAUCGAAGCCCCGGUAAACGGCGGCCGUAACUAUAACGGUCCUAAGGUAGCGAAAUUCCUUGUCGGGUAAGUUCCGACCUGCACGAAUGGCGUAAUGAUGGCCAGGCUGUCUCCACCCGAGACUCAGUGAAAUUGAACUCGCUGUGAAGAUGCAGUGUACCCGCGGCAAGACGGAAAGACCCCGUGAACCUUUACUAUAGCUUGACACUGAACAUUGAGCCUUGAUGUGUAGGAUAGGUGGGAGGCUUUGAAGUGUGGACGCCAGUCUGCAUGGAGCCGACCUUGAAAUACCACCCUUUAAUGUUUGAUGUUCUAACGUUGACCCGUAAUCCGGGUUGCGGACAGUGUCUGGUGGGUAGUUUGACUGGGGCGGUCUCCUCCUAAAGAGUAACGGAGGAGCACGAAGGUUGGCUAAUCCUGGUCGGACAUCAGGAGGUUAGUGCAAUGGCAUAAGCCAGCUUGACUGCGAGCGUGACGGCGCGAGCAGGUGCGAAAGCAGGUCAUAGUGAUCCGGUGGUUCUGAAUGGAAGGGCCAUCGCUCAACGGAUAAAAGGUACUCCGGGGAUAACAGGCUGAUACCGCCCAAGAGUUCAUAUCGACGGCGGUGUUUGGCACCUCGAUGUCGGCUCAUCACAUCCUGGGGCUGAAGUAGGUCCCAAGGGUAUGGCUGUUCGCCAUUUAAAGUGGUACGCGAGCUGGGUUUAGAACGUCGUGAGACAGUUCGGUCCCUAUCUGCCGUGGGCGCUGGAGAACUGAGGGGGGCUGCUCCUAGUACGAGAGGACCGGAGUGGACGCAUCACUGGUGUUCGGGUUGUCAUGCCAAUGGCACUGCCCGGUAGCUAAAUGCGGAAGAGAUAAGUGCUGAAAGCAUCUAAGCACGAAACUUGCCCCGAGAUGAGUUCUCCCUGACUCCUUGAGAGUCCUGAAGGAACGUUGAAGACGACGACGUUGAUAGGCCGGGUGUGUAAGCGCAGCGAUGCGUUGAGCUAACCGGUACUAAUGAACCGUGAGGCUUAACCUU